RNAcentral lists this ribosomal RNA (176 nucleotides) under uncultured Anoxybacillus sp. Its description in RNAcentral is "partial 16S ribosomal RNA". It matches the Rfam family "Bacterial small subunit ribosomal RNA", at positions 1207 to 1382 of the family's 1533-position model. Lineage: Bacteria; Bacillati; Bacillota; Bacilli; Caryophanales; Anoxybacillaceae. The record is from RNAcentral.
ACCUGGGCUACACACGUGCUACAAUGGGCGGUACAAAGGGUCGCGAACCCGCAGGGGGAGCCAAUCCCAAAAAGCCGCUACUCAGUUCGGAUUGCAGGCUGCAACUCGCCUGCAUGAAGCCGGAAUCGCUAGUAAUCGCGGAUCAGCAUGCCGCGGUGAAUACGUUCCCGGGCCUU